This 468-nucleotide ribosomal RNA is filed under the name uncultured bacterium. RNAcentral's name for it is "partial 16S ribosomal RNA". It matches the Rfam family "Bacterial small subunit ribosomal RNA", at positions 28 to 507 of the family's 1533-position model. The record is from RNAcentral.
GACGAACGCUGGCGGCGUGCUUAACACAUGCAAGUCGAACGGAAAGGCCCUGCUUUUGUGGGGUGCUCGAGUGGCGAACGGGUGAGUAACACGUGAGUAACCUGCCCUUGACUUUGGGAUAACUUCAGGAAACUGGGGCUAAUACCGGAUAGGAGCUCCUGCUGCAUGGUGGGGGUUGGAAAGUUUCGGCGGCUGGGGAUGGACUCGCGGCUUAUCAGCUUGUUGGUGGGGUAGUGGCUUACCAAGGCUUUGACGGGUAGCCGGCCUGAGAGGGUGACCGGCCACAUUGAGACUGAGAUACGGCCCAGACUCCUACGGGAGGCAGCAGUGGGGAAUAUUGCACAAUGGGCGGAAGCCUGAUGCAGCAACGCCGCGUGCGGGAUGACGGCCUUCGGGUUGUAAACCGCUUUCGCCUGUGACGAAGCGUGAGUGACGGUAAUGGGUAAAGAAGCACCGGCUAACUACGUG